GACGAACGCUGGCGGCGUGCUUAACACAUGCAAGUCGAACGGAAAGGCCCCUUUGGGGGUACUCGAGUGGCGAACGGGUGAGUAACACGUGAGUAACCUGCCCUUGACUUCGGGAUAACUUCAGGAAACUGGGGCUAAUACCGGAUAGGAAUCCUUGCUGCAUGGUGGGGGUUGGAAAGCUUCGGCGGUUUUGGAUGGACUCGCGGCUUAUCAGCUUGUUGGUGGGGUAGUGGCUUACCAAGGCUUUGACGGGUAGCCGGCCUGAGAGGGCGACCGGCCACAUUGGGACUGAGAUACGGCCCAGACUCCUACGGGAGGCAGCAGUGGGGAAUAUUGCACAAUGGGCGGAAGCCUGAUGCAGCAACGCCGCGUGCGGGAUGACGGCCUUCGGGUUGUAAACCGCUUUCAGCAGGGGCGAAGCUUUUGUGACGGUACCUGAAGAAGAAGCACCGGCUAACUACGUG
This 464-nucleotide ribosomal RNA is filed under the name uncultured bacterium. RNAcentral describes it as "partial 16S ribosomal RNA". It matches the Rfam family "Bacterial small subunit ribosomal RNA", at positions 28 to 507 of the family's 1533-position model. The record is from RNAcentral.